RNAcentral lists this ribosomal RNA (630 nucleotides) under uncultured bacterium. RNAcentral's name for it is "bacterial SSU rRNA". It matches the Rfam family "Bacterial small subunit ribosomal RNA", at positions 554 to 1183 of the family's 1533-position model. The record is from RNAcentral.
UUGGGCGUAAGCGCGCGCAGGCGGUCCUUUAAGUCUGAUGUGAAAGCCCACGGCUCAACCGUGGAGGGUCAUUGGAAACUGGGGGACUUGAGUGCAGAAGAGGAAAGCGGAAUUCCACGUGUAGCGGUGAAAUGCGUAGAGAUGUGGAGGAACACCAGUGGCGAAGGCGGCUUUCUGGUCUGUAACUGACGCUGAGGCGCGAAAGCGUGGGGAGCAAACAGGAUUAGAUACCCUGGUAGUCCACGCCGUAAACGAUGAGUGCUAAGUGUUAGAGGGUUUCCGCCCUUUAGUGCUGCAGCUAACGCAUUAAGCACUCCGCCUGGGGAGUACGGCCGCAAGGCUGAAACUCAAAGGAAUUGACGGGGGCCCGCACAAGCGGUGGAGCAUGCGGUUUAAUUCGAAGCAACGCGAAGAACCUUACCAGGUCUUGACAUCCUCUGCCACUCCCAGAGAUGGGACGUUCCCCUUCGGGGGACAGAGUGACAGGUGGUGCAUGGUUGUCGUCAGCUCGUGUCGUGAGAUGUUGGGUUAAGUCCCGCAACGAGCGCAACCCUUGAUCUUAGUUGCCAGCAUUCAGUUGGGCACUCUAAGGUGACUGCCGGUGACAAACCGGAGGAAGGUGGGGAUGAC